This 217-nucleotide ribosomal RNA is filed under the name uncultured bacterium. RNAcentral describes it as "partial 16S ribosomal RNA". It matches the Rfam family "Bacterial small subunit ribosomal RNA", at positions 524 to 740 of the family's 1533-position model. The record is from RNAcentral.
GACAGAGGGUGCAAACGUUGCUCGGAAUCACUGGGCGUAAAGGGCGCGUAGGCGGGAAUGUAAGUCGGGCGUGAAAUCCCCAGGCUCAACCUGAGAACUGCACUCGAACUGCGUUUCUUUGAGUAUCGGAGAGGAAAGCGGAAUUCCUGGUGUAGAGGUGAAAUUCGUAGAUAUCAGGAGGAACACCAGUGGCGAAGGGCGCUUUCUGGACGGUAAC